Non-coding RNA from Paramuricea clavata, 886 nucleotides. The record is from the annotation of a GenBank genome assembly. Lineage: Eukaryota; Metazoa; Cnidaria; Anthozoa; Malacalcyonacea; Plexauridae.
GCAGUUCAGAUGUCGAUAUAGAAUUGAAAAAGGGCUUAUUCCUGAACAUCCUGCAAGGGCAAGGCCAACUGACGAUGUUGAAGAAUGAAGACAUUUUAGCAUGGAUUACUAGUAUAGAUUAUAGUAUCUCUUGUCCUUUAUGAUGUCUUCCUGAAAGUUGUUGGUGAAUACAAAUUGAGCUGUGAUCCCUCAACGUGGCCAACAACAUGCUCCACCAAAUACCUGAGCACAAUAUAGAAAGUGCACAUACAUGCAGGGAUGGAUUUACUUGGGGGGGGGGGGUUGCACCCCCUAGCCAGAGGGGGUGCACGGGGGUGCUAUUUUUUUGAUAAAGCAAAAAAGACAAAAUAAGAUGCAAUAAUUUGAGUAAUAACAUGAUGAUAAGUGAACUGUGAACAACAAUUACAAUUCAAAUACAGCAGUUGAUGGGUGGGCGGCACACAUGACCGACACAAUUCGGCAGUCAGCACCAGAGCACCCCUCCCCCACCAGAUCAUGCUGGAUCCAUCCCUGCAUACAUGUACUGUAUCAUAUUUAAUUAAUGCUUGAGUAUAUUUGUUCAAAUUUAUUGAUAUUAAUAAAUAAUUAAAUUAUGUUUGUUAUAGUAGUGUACAUUUUGCACCAGCCACUCUUGAAAUUAGACGUCAGCCACUUUUUAACUAGAUGGCCAUGGAUGACCUAAGAAAUUGUUUUCUUUAUUAAACAGCAACUUGCAAGCUUUGUGAUAUUUCUUGAAUACCUCAAAAGUUGUCAGCUGCUGUUUACAUUAUCUACUUCACCAUGUUUGGUUUUUUAGUAUGCAUGAACACUAUUAUUAAGUUAAAGGAGGAAGCAUUUAUAAUGGCAUGCAGGUACAUUAUUUGAUACUUCUGAAGACCAUCCAGAG